UGGGGAAUUUUGGACAAUGGGCGAAAGCCUGAUCCAGCAAUGCCGCGUGUGUGAAGAAGGCCUUCGGGUUGUAAAGCACUUUUGUCCGGAAAGAAAUCCUUGGCUCUAAUACAGUCGGGGGAUGACGGUACCGGAAGAAUAAGCACCGGCUAACUACGUGCCAGCAGCCGCGGUAAUACGUAGGGUGCAAGCGUUAAUCGGAAUUACUGGGCGUAAAGCGUGCGCAGGCGGUUUGCUAAGACCGAUGUGAAAUCCCCGGGCUCAACCUGGGAACUGCAUUGGUGACUGGCAGGCUAGAGUAUGGCAGAGGGGGGUAGAAUUCCACGUGUAGCAGUGAAAUGCGUAGAGAUGUGGAGGAAUACCGAUGGCGAAGGCAGCCCCCUGGGCCAAUACUGACGCUCAUGCACGAAAGCGUGGGGGAGCAAACAGGAUUAGAUACCCUGGUAGUCCACGCCCUAAACGAUGUCAACUAGUUGUUGGGGGAUUCAUUUCCUUAGUAACGUAGCUAACGCGUGAAGUUGACCGCCUGGGGAGUACGGUCGCAAGAUUAAAACUCAAAGGAAUUGACGGGGUCAUAG
This 578-nucleotide ribosomal RNA is filed under the name uncultured bacterium. RNAcentral describes it as "partial 16S ribosomal RNA". It matches the Rfam family "Bacterial small subunit ribosomal RNA", at positions 355 to 924 of the family's 1533-position model. The record is from RNAcentral.